RNAcentral lists this ribosomal RNA (484 nucleotides) under uncultured bacterium. RNAcentral's name for it is "partial 16S ribosomal RNA". It matches the Rfam family "Bacterial small subunit ribosomal RNA", at positions 30 to 507 of the family's 1533-position model. The record is from RNAcentral.
AUUGAACGCUGGCGGCAGGCCUAACACAUGCAAGUCGAGCGGAUGAAGGGAGCUUGCUCCUGGAUUCAGCGGCGGACGGGUGAGUAAUGCCUAGGAAUCUGCCUGGUAGUGGGGGAUAACGUCCGGAAACGGGCGCUAAUACCGCAUACGUCCUGAGGGAGAAAGUGGGGGAUCUUCGGACCUCACGCUAUCAGAUGAGCCUAGGUCGGAUUAGCUAGUUGGUGGGGUAAAGGCCUUCCAAGGCGACGAUCCGUAACUGGUCUGAGAGGAUGAUCAGUCACACUGGAAUUGAGACACGGUCCAGACUCCUACGGGAGGCAGCAGUGGGGAAUAUUGGACAAUGGGCGAAAGCCUGAUCCAGCCAUGCCGCGUGUGUGAAGAAGGUCUUCGGAUUGUAAAGCACUUUAAGUUGGGAGGAAGGGCAGUAAGUUAAUACCUUGCUGUUUUGACGUUACCAACAGAAUAAGCACCGGCUAACUUCGUG